CAGUGGGGAAUAUUGCACAAUGGGCGCAAGCCUGAUGCAGCCAUGCCGCGUGUAUGAAGAAGGCCUUCGGGUUGUAAAGUACUUUCAGCAGUGAGGAAGGUGGAUAUGUUAAUAGCAUAUUCAUUUGACGUUAGCUGCAGAAGAAGCACCGGCUAACUCCGUGCCAGCAGCCGCGGUAAUACGGAGGGUGCGAGCGUUAAUCGGAAUUACUGGGCGUAAAGCGCAUGCAGGUGGUUUGUUAAGUCAGAUGUGAAAGCCCGGGGCUCAACCUCGGAAUUGCAUUUGAAACUGGACAAACUAGAGUACUGUAGAGGGGGUAGAAUUUCAGGUGUAGCGGUGAAAUGCGUAGAGAUCUGAAGGAAUACCGGUGGCGAAGGCGGCCCCCUGGACAGAUACUGACACUCAGAUGCGAAAGCGUGGGGAGCAAACAGGAUUAGAUACCCUGGUAG
Molecule: ribosomal RNA, 449 nt
Filed under: uncultured bacterium
Lineage: Bacteria
Description: bacterial SSU rRNA
Rfam family: Bacterial small subunit ribosomal RNA
Source: RNAcentral